RNAcentral lists this ribosomal RNA (377 nucleotides) under uncultured bacterium. Its description in RNAcentral is "bacterial SSU rRNA". It matches the Rfam family "Bacterial small subunit ribosomal RNA", at positions 523 to 898 of the family's 1533-position model. The record is from RNAcentral.
AUACGUAGGGGGCAAGCGUUAUCCGGAUUUACUGGGUGUAAAGGGAGCGUAGGUGGUGUGGUAAGUCAGAUGUGAAAACCCGGGGCUCAACCCCGGGACUGCAUUUGAAACUAUCAUGCUAGAGUGCAGGAGAGGUAAGUGGAAUUCCUAGUGUAGCGGUGAAAUGCGUAGAUAUUAGGAGGAACACCAGUGGCGAAGGCGGCUUACUGGACUGUAACUGACACUGAGGCUCGAAAGCGUGGGGAGCAAACAGGAUUAGAUACCCUGGUAGUCCACGCUGUAAACGAUGAAUACUAGGUGUUGGGGAGCAAAAGCUCCUCGGUGCCGUCGCAAACGCAUUAAGUAUUCCACCUGGGGAGUACGUUCGCAAGAAUGAA